UAGGGAAUAUUGGACAAUGGGGGCAACCCUGAUCCAGCCAUGCCGCGUGAGUGAAGAAGGCCCUCGGGUUGUAAAGCUCUUUUGUCCGGAAAGAAAAGCAUUCGGUGAAUACCCGGAUGUUCUGACGGUACCGGAAGAAUAAGCACCGGCUAACUUCGUGCCAGCAGCCGCGGUAAUACGAAGGGUGCAAGCGUUACUCGGAAUUACUGGGCGUAAAGCGUGCGUAGGUGGUUGUUUAAGUCUGAUGUGAAAGCCCUGGGCUCAACCUGGGAAUGGCAUUGGAAACUGGGCAACUAGAGUGCGGUAGAGGGUAGUGGAAUUCCCGGUGUAGCAGUGAAAUGCGUAGAGAUCGGGAGGAACAUCUGUGGCGAAGGCGACUGCCUGGACCAGCACUGACACUGAGGCACGAAAGCGUGGGGAGCAAACA
Molecule: ribosomal RNA, 427 nt
Filed under: uncultured bacterium
Lineage: Bacteria
Description: bacterial SSU rRNA
Rfam family: Bacterial small subunit ribosomal RNA
Source: RNAcentral